RNAcentral lists this ribosomal RNA (621 nucleotides) under uncultured bacterium. RNAcentral describes it as "bacterial SSU rRNA". It matches the Rfam family "Bacterial small subunit ribosomal RNA", at positions 8 to 650 of the family's 1533-position model. The record is from RNAcentral.
AGAGUUUGAUUCUGGCUCAGGACGAACGCUGGCGGCAUGCCUAACACAUGCAAGUCGAACGGGGAUAGCAAUAUCCUAGUGGCGAACGGGUGAGUAACGCGUGAGUAACCUGCCUCAUACAACGGGAUACCCGAGGGAAACUUCGGUUAAUACGGUAUAAGACCACACUACCGCAUGGUAGAGGGGUAAAAGGGGCAACCUGGUAUGAGAUGGACUCGCGUCGCAUUAGCUAGUUGGUGAGGUAACGGCCCACCAAGGCGACGAUGCGUAGCCGACCUGAGAGGGUGAUCGGCCACAUUGGGACUGAGAUACGGCCCAGACUCCUACGGGAGGCAGCAGUGGGGAAUAUUGGGCAAUGGAGGAAACUCUGACCCAGCAAUGCCGCGUGAAUGAAGAAGGUCUUCGGAUUGUAAAGUUCUUUAGUCAGGGAAGAAGUCAAUGACGGUACCUGAAGAAUAAGCUCCGGCUAACUACGUGCCAGCAGCCGCGGUAAUACGUAGGGAGCAAGCGUUGUUCGGAAUGACUGGGCGUAAAGGGUGCGUANGCGGUUGUACAAGUUAGAAGUGAAAUACCCAGGGCUUAACUCGGGUGCUGCUUCUAAAACUGUAUGACUUGAGUGCA